Long non-coding RNA from Maylandia zebra (zebra mbuna), 373 nucleotides. RefSeq lists it as uncharacterized. The record is from RefSeq and is a predicted model, not a curated record. Lineage: Eukaryota; Metazoa; Chordata; Actinopteri; Cichliformes; Cichlidae.
GUGGCUCUUUGCAAGACUCCAGACAGAGGAGCGAAAAGGAUGAUCAGAAGAGUUCUCCAAGAUCUGCAAGAAGACCUGAAAUCAGCAGUAUUAAGUCAGAACUGGGGGUGAAAUGCAAAACACUACAGGAUGCACUUUCAGCCUGUCUAAUGUAGACAACACACCAGACAUUAAAUCGGGGAGAAGUGCAGCGGCUCGUAGAGGUGCUGCACAGACCCAAGACACCGAAACCUGCCGUUGACCAUGAUGGCCAUCCUGGUGCAAAGUGCCUCGCACUCCUCCAUGCUGACAAUACAAACAUUUAGAGACGGCAGUAAAUAUUUUGCCUUUACAAUACAAAACUCCAUCGGGAAUGAAUUAAAGCUGAACUGAC